UGGAGAUGUAGCCUAAUGAUGCAAGAAAAGGUAAUCUAGAUCAGUGAAGUUAACAAACCAACUUGUAUCAGGAAAAUAGAAUGAGAGGAAAGUUGGUAAGAAUUUUGGUGUACAAUGAAAUGCCACUGUUUUUACUCAUUAUUAAUGCUAUCAAUAAAACUUCUUGGAAAGAUCCUAGAAUAGAAGGCACAGUUAGCAAAUAUAUCAUUUUGAUCACUCAUUCCUCUAGAAACUAUCCAAAAAUACAGGUGCAGUAAAAGCCAAGAUCAUGCAAUGACACAUGUCAACCAUAAGAUGUCUAUCAUAAAAAGGGGCCAAUUUUUGUACUGUUGGUUGUCCAAAAAAAAAUGUUGACAUGCUAAAUCAAUAUAUUAUAAUUGGAUUAUCUGAAACAUGCAUCCUUUAUCCUUUUAAACUUAAAUCAUAACAACAAACCUUCAAGAGGCGAGUCUGCAAUG
This 458-nucleotide unclassified non-coding RNA is filed under the name Hevea brasiliensis (rubber tree). The record is from RNAcentral. Lineage: Eukaryota; Viridiplantae; Streptophyta; Magnoliopsida; Malpighiales; Euphorbiaceae.